CGCGGCCUAUCAGCUUGUUGGUGAGGUAAUGGCUCACCAAGGCAUCGACGGGUAGCUGGUCUGAGAGGACGAUCAGCCACACUGGGACUGAGACACGGCCCAGACUCCUACGGGAGGCAGCAGUAGGGAAUCUUGCGCAAUGGGCGAAAGCCUGAUGCAGCAACGCCGCGUGCGGGAAGAAGGCCCUAGGGUUGUAAACCGCUUUCAGCAGGGAAGAAAAUGACGGUACCUGCAGAAGAAGGUGCGGCCAACUACGUGCCAGCAGCCGCGGUGACACGUAGGCACCAAGCGUUGUCCGGAUUUAUUGGGCGUAAAGAGCUCGUAGGCGGUUCAGUAAGUCGGGUGUGAAAACUCUGGGCUCAACCCAGAGACGCCACUCGAUACUGCUGUGACUAGAGUGCGGUAGGGGAGCGGGGAAUUCCUAGUGUAGCGGUGAAAUGCGCAGAUAUUAGGAGGAACACCAGUGGCGAAGGCGCCGCUCUGGGCCGUAACUGACGCUGAGGAGCGAAAGCGUGGGUAGCAAACAGGAUUAGAUACCCUGGUAGUCCACGUCGUAAACGUUGGGCACUAGGUGUGGGUCCCAUCCAACGGGAUCCGCGCCGCAGCUAACGCAUUAAGUGCCCCGCCUGGGGAGUACGG
RNAcentral lists this ribosomal RNA (639 nucleotides) under uncultured Actinomycetes bacterium. Its description in RNAcentral is "bacterial SSU rRNA". It matches the Rfam family "Bacterial small subunit ribosomal RNA", at positions 232 to 885 of the family's 1533-position model. Lineage: Bacteria; Bacillati; Actinomycetota; Actinomycetes. The record is from RNAcentral.